RNAcentral lists this ribosomal RNA (495 nucleotides) under uncultured bacterium. RNAcentral describes it as "partial 16S ribosomal RNA". It matches the Rfam family "Bacterial small subunit ribosomal RNA", at positions 28 to 507 of the family's 1533-position model. The record is from RNAcentral.
GACGAACGCUGGCGGCGUGCCUAAUACAUGCAAGUAGAACGCUGAAGGAGGAGCUUGCUUCUCUGGAUGAGUUGCGAACGGGUGAGUAACGCGUAGGUAACCUGCCUGGUAGCGGGGGAUAACUAUUGGAAACGAUAGCUAAUACCGCAUAAUAGCAGUUAUUGCAUGAUAACUGUUUGAAAGGUGCAAUUGCACCACUACCAGAUGGACCUGCGUUGUAUUAGCUAGUUGGUGGGGUAACGGCUCACCAAGGCGACGAUACAUAGCCGACCUGAGAGGGUGAUCGGCCACACUGGGACUGAGACACGGCCCAGACUCCUACGGGAGGCAGCAGUAGGGAAUCUUCGGCAAUGGACGGAAGUCUGACCGAGCAACGCCGCGUGAGUGAAGAAGGUUUUCGGAUCGUAAAGCUCUGUUGUAAGAGAAGAACGAGUGUGAGAGUGGAAAGUUCACACUGUGACGGUAGCUUACCAGAAAGGGACGGCUAACUACGUG